GGGUCGCUAGCUCAACUGGCAGAGCAGGUCCCUCUUAAGGACAAGGUUGCAGGUUCGAUUCCUGUGCGGCCCA
RNAcentral lists this transfer RNA (73 nucleotides) under Elusimicrobiota bacterium. RNAcentral describes it as "Elusimicrobia bacterium (rhizosphere metagenome) tRNA-Lys". It matches the Rfam family "tRNA". Rfam says of the family: Transfer RNA (tRNA) molecules are approximately 80 nucleotides in length. Their secondary structure includes four short double-helical elements and three loops (D, anti-codon, and T loops). Lineage: Bacteria; Pseudomonadati; Elusimicrobiota. The record is from RNAcentral.